RNAcentral lists this ribosomal RNA (328 nucleotides) under uncultured eukaryote. RNAcentral's name for it is "partial 18S ribosomal RNA". It matches the Rfam family "Eukaryotic small subunit ribosomal RNA", at positions 1470 to 1796 of the family's 1831-position model. The record is from RNAcentral.
CCCUUAGAUGUUCUGGGCCGCACGCGCGCUACACUGAUGCAUUCAACGAGCCUAUCCUUGACCGACAGGUCCGGGUAAUCUUUGAAUCUGCAUCGUGACGGGGAUAGAUUAUUGCAAUUAUUAAUCUUCAACGAGGAAUGCCUAGUAGGCGCAAGUCAUCAGCUUGCGUCGAUUACGUCCCUGCCCUUUGUACGCACCGCCCGUCGCUACUACCGAUUGAAUGGUUUAGUGAGAUCUUCGGAUUGGCCACCUUGGUGCCUUCGCGGGUCCAUGGCGUGCCGAAAAGUUGUUCAAACUUGAUCAUUUAGAGGAAGUAAAAGUCGUAACA